AGAGUUUGAUCCUGGCUUCGGCCAGGUGAGAGUGGCGGACGGGUGAGUAACGCGUGGGAACCUGCCCAUUGGUCUGGGAUAACUGCGGGAAACUGCAGCUAAUACCGGAUGUACCCGAGAGGGGAAAGAUUUAUCGCCGAUGGAGGGGCCCGCGUCAGAUUAGGUAGUUGGUGAGGUAACGGCUCACCAAGCCUACGAUCUGUAGCUGGUCUGAGAGGAUGAUCAGCCACACUGGGACUGAGAUACGGCCCAGACUCCUACGGGAGGCAGCAGUGGGGAAUAUUGGACAAUGGGGGCAACCCUGAUCCAGCAAUGCCGCGUGAGUGAUGAAGGCCUUAGGGUUGUAAAGCUCUUUUACCAGGGACGAUGAUGACGGUACCUGGAGAAUAAGCCCCGGCUAACUUCGUG
This 408-nucleotide ribosomal RNA is filed under the name uncultured bacterium. RNAcentral describes it as "bacterial SSU rRNA". It matches the Rfam family "Bacterial small subunit ribosomal RNA", at positions 63 to 507 of the family's 1533-position model. The record is from RNAcentral.